RNAcentral lists this transfer RNA (74 nucleotides) under Gammaproteobacteria bacterium. Its description in RNAcentral is "tRNA-Cys". It matches the Rfam family "tRNA". Rfam says of the family: Transfer RNA (tRNA) molecules are approximately 80 nucleotides in length. Their secondary structure includes four short double-helical elements and three loops (D, anti-codon, and T loops). Further hydrogen bonds mediate the characteristic L-shaped molecular structure. tRNAs have two regions of fundamental functional importance: the anti-codon, which is responsible for specific mRNA codon recognition, and the 3' end, to which the tRNAs corresponding amino acid is attached (by aminoacyl-tRNA synthetases). tRNAs cope with the degeneracy of the genetic code in two manners: having more than one tRNA (with a specific anti-codon) for a particular amino acid; and 'wobble' base-pairing, i.e. permitting non-standard base-pairing at the 3rd anti-codon position. Lineage: Bacteria; Pseudomonadati; Pseudomonadota; Gammaproteobacteria. The record is from RNAcentral.
GGCUGAGUGGCAGAGUGGUCAUGCGGCGGACUGCAAAUCCGUUCACGCCGGUUCAAUUCCGACCUCAGCCUCCA